Molecule: long non-coding RNA, 328 nt
Organism: Gallus gallus (chicken)
Lineage: Eukaryota; Metazoa; Chordata; Aves; Galliformes; Phasianidae
Source: Ensembl
CUGAGUUUCAUGUGGUUUUGUUGUGCACGUUUUGGAACGCUGCUGGGGGAGCACCCCUCAGAGGUCUUUGAGAUUCAAACCAGCAUUGGAAGUGACAGCCCAGAUAACGCAACCGCUCCACCAGCAGUCAAAAAGAAGUGGUAUUGCUGCAAUCUCUGUCCUCGUGUGAUUGAACUGCUGUCACAGCUACAUGCAAGGAACAAGCAUGCCAAGGGCCCGGCACCCAAUUUAAAACAUGAGCUGUCUUCCAGUGGUGAGCUGGGGAGGUCAGUGAGGCUGUGCUGGUCAGAAAACACCUUGCAGUGCUGCAGAAAGGCUACGUGAGUGG